GCAGAGUGGUUAUCGCGCAAGACUAGAAAUCUUGUUCCUUCGGGAGCGUCAGUUCGAAUCUGGC
Molecule: non-coding RNA, 64 nt
Organism: Pyrenophora teres f. teres 0-1
Lineage: Eukaryota; Fungi; Ascomycota; Dothideomycetes; Pleosporales; Pleosporaceae
Source: Rfam